GUAGGGAAUAUUGGGCAAUGGAGGCAACUCUGACCCAGCCAUGCCGCGUGCAGGAUGACGGCCCUCUGGGUUGUAAACUGCUUUUAGACGGGAAGAAAAAAUACUACGUGUAGUAUACUGACGGUACCGUAAGAAUAAGGAUCGGCUAACUCCGUGCCAGCAGCAGCGGUAAUACGGAGGAUCCAAGCGUUGUCCGGAAUUAUUGGGUUUAAAGGGUGCGUAGGCGGAUCUUUAAGUCAGUGGUGAAAGCCUGCAGCUUAACUGUAGAAUUGCCAUUGAAACUGAAGAUCUUGAAUGUGGUUAAAGUAGGCGGAAUGUAUCAUGUAGCGGUGAAAUGCUUAGAUAUGAUACAGAACACCGAUAGCGAAGGCAGCUUGCUGAACCAUUAUUGACGCUGAGGCACGAAAGCGUGGGGAGCGAACAGGAUUAGAUCCCCUUGUAGUCC
RNAcentral lists this ribosomal RNA (445 nucleotides) under uncultured bacterium. RNAcentral describes it as "partial 16S ribosomal RNA". It matches the Rfam family "Bacterial small subunit ribosomal RNA", at positions 354 to 796 of the family's 1533-position model. The record is from RNAcentral.